GAUGAACGCUGGCGGCGUGCCUAAUACAUGCAAGUCGAGCGAACGGACGAGAAGCUUGCUUCUCUGAUGUUAGCGGCGGACGGGUGAGUAACACGUGGAUAACCUACCUAUAAGACUGGGAUAACUUCGGGAAACCGUAGCUAAUACCGGAUAAUAUUUUGAACCGCAUGGUUCAAAAGUGAAAGACGGUCUUGCUGUCACUUAUGGAUGGAUCCGCGCUGCAUUAGCUAGUUGGUAAGGUAACGGCUUACCAAGGCAACGAUGCAUAGCCGACCUGAGAGGGUGAUCGGCCACACUGGAACUGAGACACGGUCCAGACUCCUACGGGAGGCAGCAGUAGGGAAUCUUCCGCAAUGGGCGAAAGCCUGACGGAGCAACGCCGCGUGAGUGAUGAAGGUCUUCGGAUCGUAAAACUCUGUUAUUAGGGAAGAACAUAUGUGUAAGUAACUGCGCACAUCUUGACGGUACCUAAUCAGAAAGCCACGGCUAACUACGUG
This 497-nucleotide ribosomal RNA is filed under the name uncultured bacterium. RNAcentral describes it as "partial 16S ribosomal RNA". It matches the Rfam family "Bacterial small subunit ribosomal RNA", at positions 28 to 507 of the family's 1533-position model. The record is from RNAcentral.